AGUAAAGUCAGCUAAUAAAGCUAUCGGGCCCAUACCCCGAAAAUGUUGGUUUAAAUCCCUCCUAUACUA
RNAcentral lists this transfer RNA (69 nucleotides) under Sceloporus orcutti. RNAcentral's name for it is "tRNA-Met". It matches the Rfam family "tRNA". Rfam says of the family: Transfer RNA (tRNA) molecules are approximately 80 nucleotides in length. Their secondary structure includes four short double-helical elements and three loops (D, anti-codon, and T loops). The record is from RNAcentral. RNAcentral also lists the same sequence under 1 other name. Lineage: Eukaryota; Metazoa; Chordata; Lepidosauria; Squamata; Phrynosomatidae.